RNAcentral lists this ribosomal RNA (37 nucleotides) under Glomus sp. 3.3. RNAcentral describes it as "partial 28S ribosomal RNA". The record is from RNAcentral. Lineage: Eukaryota; Fungi; Glomeromycota; Glomeromycetes; Glomerales; Glomeraceae.
UGACCUCAAAUCAGGUAAGAACACCCGCCGAACUUAA